This is a long non-coding RNA of Physella acuta, 196 nucleotides long. RefSeq lists it as uncharacterized. The record is from RefSeq and is a predicted model, not a curated record. Lineage: Eukaryota; Metazoa; Mollusca; Gastropoda; Physidae.
GCUGUGCAGGUGCUAAUGGAAGUUGUAACAGUGGGACUCCAUGCUGUGACAGACGUUUUACCUGCAUGCUUAUCCGUCGAGAAAGGAAGUGUAAAAUGAGGUGAUUUUUGUUUUUAUGUCGUCGGUCGCAAGCACUAUAUUUUGUGAUUACAGAAACUUAUUUUUGGUUUUUAAAAUGAUUAAACAUAUUAGUGUU